AAGGUUGACCUCGGAUCAGGUAGGGAUACCCGCUGAACUUAAGCAUAUCAAUAAGACGGAGG
Molecule: ribosomal RNA, 62 nt
Filed under: Macrophomina phaseolina
Lineage: Eukaryota; Fungi; Ascomycota; Dothideomycetes; Botryosphaeriales; Botryosphaeriaceae
Description: partial 28S ribosomal RNA
Source: RNAcentral